GUAUUUUUUUGUUUUGCUUCACCCAGAAACGGGUAAAUUGACAUAGUAUCUCUUGAGUCUUCUCUUCUUCUACCUUCUUCCUAUGUGACAAAAGCUAGAGCAACAACUAUGACAAAUAUACAUCUUCUCCCUCUCAUGGCCCGCUUGAUCUAUGCUGAUUAAAGGGCUACCAAAGCUCUCUUCCCAAAGUCCUGCUCUUGAGCUCCCUGCCACAAAGAAGCAAGUAGUCAGUUGAUGCAUCCAUUUCACCUAUUUUUAGAUGAAGUAGAAUGACUGAGAAAUGGUCAGUUGACCAGACCCUCCCGGAGGCACGGAGGGUGUGGUCUGGCUACGCGAGACUAUAUAGAGUAUAUGCCACAGGGAAACCACACUGUCUCUCAUUGAUCCUCGACUAAUAACAAGUUGGGUUCAGGUUUACUAAAUUCACUUCCAAAUAUGAGUUGAUUAAAGUUAUUGAUGUCCCAUCAUAUCAGGAGAGAGAGAGAAAACUAGAAAAGUAGGAAUUCUGUUUGCACCAAAUCAGCAUCUUCAAAAUUAGAAGGUGUGGGUGUGGCUCAUAUCUAAAUAAACUAGAUCUAUCUAAAUUUAAAAUGAGACUUGCAUAAUAUCAAAUCUAUUGUUGUCAUGAAUAUAGUUCAUACGGACAGAGAAGAAGAAAAAUGUUAAAAUAAUGGCACUAAAAGGUAAAGAGGAAAGAGAAAGGAGAUAUACAAAUAAAUGUAGUGCUGAAUAUAGAUUUAAUAUGAAGGAAUAAUGAGUAGAUUAUUAAACUGUAUUAUA
Molecule: long non-coding RNA, 780 nt
Organism: Amphimedon queenslandica
Lineage: Eukaryota; Metazoa; Porifera; Demospongiae; Haplosclerida; Niphatidae
Exons: 3
Source: RefSeq, a predicted model, not a curated record